This 911-nucleotide ribosomal RNA is filed under the name uncultured archaeon. RNAcentral's name for it is "bacterial SSU rRNA". It matches the Rfam family "Archaeal small subunit ribosomal RNA", at positions 4 to 922 of the family's 1478-position model. The record is from RNAcentral.
CCGGUUGAUCCCGCCGGACCUGACUGCUAACGGAUUGAUACUAAGCCAUGCGAGUCAUUGUAGUAAUACAAGGCAGACGGCUCAGUAACGCGUAGUCAACCUACCCUAUGGACGGGGAUAACCUCGGGAAACUGAGAAUAAUACCCGAUAGAACAUUAUGCCUGGAAUGGUUUAUGUUUCAAAUAAUUUAUUGCCGUAGGAUGGGACUGCGGCCUAUCAGUUUGUUGGUGAGGUAAUGGCCCACCAAGACUAUUACAGGUACGGGCUCUGAGAGGAGUAGCCCGGAGAUGGGUACUGAGACACGGACCCAGGCCCUAUGGGGCGCAGCAGGCGAGAAAACUUUGCAAUGUGCGAAAGCACGACAAGGUUAAUCCGAGUGGUUUCUGCUAAAGGAACCUUUUGUCAGUCCUAGAAACACUGAUGAAUAAGGGGUGGGCAAGUUCUGGUGUCAGCCGCCGCGGUAAAACCAGCACCUCAAGUGGUCAGGAUGAUUAUUGGGCCUAAAGCAUCCGUAGCCUGCUUUGUCAGUUUUCAGUUAAAUCCAUACGCUCAACGUAUGGGCUGCCGGGAAUACUGCAAAGCUAGGGAGUGGGAGAGGUAGACGGUACUCGGUAGGAAGGGGUAAAAUCCUUUGAUCUAUUGAUGACCACCUGUGGCGAAGGCGGUCUACCAGAACACGUCCGACGGUGAGGGAUGAAAGCUGGGGGAGCAAACCGGAUUAGAUACCCGGGUAGUCCCAGCUGUAAACUAUGCAAACUCAGUGAUGCAUUGGCUUGAUGCCAAUGCAGUGCUGCAGGGAAGCCGUUAAGUUUGCCGCCUGGGAAGUACGCACGCAAGUAUGAACUUAAAGGAAUUGGCGGGGGAGCACCACAAGGGGUGAAGCCUGCGGUUCAAUUGGAUUCAACGCCGGA